RNAcentral lists this ribosomal RNA (251 nucleotides) under uncultured bacterium. RNAcentral's name for it is "partial 16S ribosomal RNA". It matches the Rfam family "Bacterial small subunit ribosomal RNA", at positions 524 to 774 of the family's 1533-position model. The record is from RNAcentral.
UACAUAGGGGGCAAGCGUUAUCCGGAUUUACUGGGUGUAAAGGGAGCGUAGACGGCGAAGCAAGUCUGAUGUGAAAGGCAGGGGCUCAACCCCUGGACUGCAUUGGAAACUGUUUUGCUAGAGUGCCGGAGAGGUAAGCGGAAUUCCUAGUGUAGCGGUGAAAUGCGUAGAUAUUAGGAGGAACACCAGUGGUGAAGGCGGCUUACUGGACGGUAACUGACGUUGAGGCUCGAAAGCGUGGGGAGCAAACA